GACAGAGGCCCCGAGCGUUAGUCGGAAUUACUGGGCUUAAAGGGUGCGUAGGCGGGCGUGUAAGUGUCUUGUGAAAGCCCUGGGCUCAACCCAGGAACCGCAGGGCAUACUGCACGUCUCGAGGUAGCUAGAGGCCGGUGGAACGAUCGGUGGAGCGGUGGAAUGCGUAGAGAUCGAUCGGAACGCCAAGGGUGAAGACAACCGGCUGGGGCUUACCUGACGCUGAGGCACGAAAGCGUGGGGAUCAAACAGG
This 253-nucleotide ribosomal RNA is filed under the name uncultured bacterium. RNAcentral describes it as "partial 16S ribosomal RNA". It matches the Rfam family "Bacterial small subunit ribosomal RNA", at positions 524 to 776 of the family's 1533-position model. The record is from RNAcentral.